CCCCCGCUCGAGCUCUCCCUCCGCCGCACAUGCUGCUCCCCACGCCGGCCACGUGCUCUCCAGCCGGCGGGGCCGUCGCAUCCUCUCUAUCUCCCGUCCACCGCUAACCCCACUCCACAUUGCCGCCGGUGGUACCCCGUACACCAUACUGCCGCCGCCUCCACCGGUGGUCUUGCCGUCGCCCUCCAAACCCUGCCGGGAGCUUCCCUUUUCGUCCGCGCCCAAGCUCACCAUCUCCUGGAGGUGCUGCCGGCCAAGAAGUGCCUGGCAAAAGAAGGGGGCCAAACCUACUAACCAGCGGGAUCCGAACGACAUGUGGAUUUCCAAAAGGUGCAACUAGCAUGGACAAAGAUUGGAUGGAUACACCUAGAUUCUCUCUUACAUAUGCAUACAAGGUCAAUGAAAAUCCAAUCAAGUUGCAAGGAAGAUUGAUCUAUGUAAUAAUGAAAGACAUGCAAGCGGAGGAGGAACCAUGAAGCCGGCGGUUCAGGAUAUUUUGUGUAGUGGUGAUUGAAUCAUUGGUGAUGAAUUUUAUCUAUCAUUUUGUAAACCCACAUUGUGUUUGAGACAAUGAACCUUAAUGUUUCCUCUAGUUAAUUAGUUAUAUUAGCUUAUGGGAAAUUUUGAAAGUCAUUAUGUUGAUAACGGAUGAAGUAUUUACAUGUGAAAUUAAUUAAUAUGUGUUUCUA
This is a long non-coding RNA of Triticum aestivum (bread wheat), 689 nucleotides long. RefSeq lists it as uncharacterized. Lineage: Eukaryota; Viridiplantae; Streptophyta; Magnoliopsida; Poales; Poaceae. The transcript is spliced from 6 exons. The record is from RefSeq and is a predicted model, not a curated record.